GCCGCGCUCCCGCCGCGGCCACAGGAAGCACGGCGGCGGCUCCAGGCGUGCCGGGCCGCGUAGUUCCUGGGGCAACUGCGCCGAGGAAGCCGCCAGGGUGUUGUGGAGCGUAGAACUACGAUUCCCAGGAAGCGGCGGGGCGGUGUACCCGGGCUGCCAAGCGAGGGCCUUGUGCCGCGAAGAGAAGAUUUGCACUUGCUAGUGCUGGCUGAUGAGAUGCCGCUAGUUAAAAAAAAAAAACAAAAAUAGAAAAAAAAUAAAUAAAAGAGGAUCACUUAUUUUCUUGCAUGUUUUUGAGGUCAGUAUGGUGACAAAAUGUCAUCAUACAUGACCCGUGCCAUAACAAACAGUGCUGGUCUUCACCUGACUGGCUGGGCAGUGAUGUAUCGUGGGCCUCCUGACGCACUCAGCGAGGAAAUUCACCAUCAUCUUUCACCUUUGAGUCACUCUUAGAAUCCAAGUGUACGUGGUGGGUUUUGACCAUUAGAAGACUUUGGUCCCUGAGUCAAGAAGUCUGUCCAGCUGCUAUCAAAGGAACUUGCAAUACUAGGGAUGGUGCUAUGCAAGUAAAUUAAACUGUACAAAAGUA
This is a long non-coding RNA of Parus major (Great Tit), 589 nucleotides long. RefSeq lists it as uncharacterized. NCBI's taxonomy places the organism in Eukaryota, Metazoa, Chordata, Aves, Passeriformes, Paridae. The transcript is spliced from 2 exons. The record is from RefSeq and is a predicted model, not a curated record.